RNAcentral lists this long non-coding RNA (1133 nucleotides) under Heterocephalus glaber (naked mole-rat). Its description in RNAcentral is "lncRNA (ENSHGLG00000046183.1)". The record is from RNAcentral. Lineage: Eukaryota; Metazoa; Chordata; Mammalia; Rodentia; Bathyergidae.
GUUAGUAUGGCCGGGAGAGCUGGGAGGGCUGUUCCAAUGGCAGAGACAAGAAGGGUCCGGAGGAGAAGAAGAAGGAGGAGGAGGAAAAGGUGGACACGGAGACCCAAGAGUGUGACCCAGCCUUCGUGGUGUAGUGGCAAGCAUAGCUGCCUUCCAAAAGUGGAGACUGAAGAUUCCUGAGCUGCAGGGAAGCAGAAGAGGCUGGGCCAGGGUGGCAGUGAUGUCAGACCUCAGGGGGCCAUGAAAGUCAUCAGCUCCCCACUUGCAGAAGAGAGAGGGCAGAGACUUGCACAAGUCACCCACCAAGGGAUGUAGGACCAGGCUGGAGCCCCGGCUGCCUCCAAUCCUGUCUUGGGUUCUGUGGGGAAUAAGUCAAGAAUCCAUGUGCGGCUCGAGAAGGCAGCUAGCAUUGGGCCUCCACUUCUGUGUUACCUAAAGAGUGGGACCCCAACACCCUGGGUCCCAGGAUCCUGCCUCAGGGUCUCUGUGUCCCCCUCUUUUGGGGUCCACCCUCUGUCAUCUCGACUGCCUUUCCUACUGAGCCCUGGGAGCUGUAGAUCAUCAAACCCUUGGCCUUGGGAAACCCCUAAGACUGACCCGGCUGUGGCCUGCAGUCGAAGGUGCACAGAGCAGGGCUCCAUGCCACUGGAAGGCAGCCACAGCCCACGAGGCUCCUCCAGCCCAGGCCCCAGGACCCCCCAGCCAGCUCCCCACAACAGACUCGAUGCCCUGUCCCCUUCCCACUCCCCCUGCACUGCAGGCCCAGUUCCUGCAUUCCUGCAACCCACGCAAAGCAACCCAGGGAAGGCAACCCAGGCAAGGCAACCCAGGCAAGGCAUGUGGAGACCUCACUGGGGCCUGCCCAUCCCCUGGGGCCUACCGAUCCGAUCCGAUCCGUUACUUCUCAGUGCUCUGUGGGGAAUGCGGAGCUUCAGAAGCAGCCCAUGCAAACGUAUGCAAAAAAGGUGCAAAUAUAAAAAGAGUAUUUUCAAUUAAAAUCAGUGUGAACCUUGGCUAUUGUCCCUCUCUUUGUCUGAGGGGGAGUGAACCCAAGGGCACUCUCUCAUUGAGCUAGAUCCCCAGCCCCUGCACCUUAUUUUUUGGAAAGAAGGUCUUGCUAAGCUACCCAGCCU